GACGAACGCUGGCGGCGUGCCUAAUACAUGCAAGUCGAACGCAGUGGGGACGGGUGAGUAACACGUGGGUAACCUCCCAUCAGAGGGGAUAACACUUGGAAACAGGUGCUAAACCGAUACUGAUGGAUGGACCCGCGGUGCAUUAGCUAGUUGGUGAGGUAACGGCUCAACAAGGCCACGAUGCAUACAGUACCUGGGAGGGUGAGCUGCCACACGGGGACUGAGAUACGGCCCAGACGCCUACGGGAGGCAGCAGUAGGGAAUCUUCGGCAAUGGACGAAAGUCUGACCGAUCAACGCCGCGUGAGUGUAGAAGGUUUUCGGAUGGUAAAACUCUGUUGUUAGAGAAGCGGUAUCUAACCAGAAAGCCACGGCUAACUACGUGCCAGCAGCCGCGGUAAUUC
RNAcentral lists this ribosomal RNA (403 nucleotides) under uncultured bacterium. Its description in RNAcentral is "partial 16S ribosomal RNA". It matches the Rfam family "Bacterial small subunit ribosomal RNA", at positions 28 to 526 of the family's 1533-position model. The record is from RNAcentral.